AUUGCGCAAAAUCAAAGAAAUUGAUGAAAUUAAUUUUGAGGAAUUAGGGUUUGAGAAAAGGGGAAAAGUGUGAAUUCUUCUUUAGAUUGUAUGAUGUCGUUUUUUUCGUGACAAUAAAUUCAACGAAGUACAAUGAAAACCGCCCACUGGAUUUGGGUAAUGGCUUCGGGUUUGAGCUUCUCUCUGUGUUUUUCUAAUUUUCUAAUCUCCCAACACUGUUUACUUUCUGGAAGCUUCUUCUUCCUCCCUUUGUCUUUAACUCAUA
This 265-nucleotide long non-coding RNA is filed under the name Arachis ipaensis. RNAcentral's name for it is "long non-coding RNA (AIPA_LNC002556)". The record is from RNAcentral. Lineage: Eukaryota; Viridiplantae; Streptophyta; Magnoliopsida; Fabales; Fabaceae.